UUUUUCACAACCCCGAAUUUCACUUCCUUGUGAAGAGGCAAGGAUAAAAUCGUUAGACGAGAAGACCCUGUCGAGCUUAUAGCAAAAGUUUAGCCUCUACCAUAUUUAAGCUGCCCUAAUUUUUGAUGAUAGGCAAAAUAAAUUUUGGGGGACUAACCAAAGCUUUGGUUGGGGCAACCGCGGAGCAGGAAAAACCUCCGCUAAUACAAUAAACAAUUAAAGUAAGAACAACAAUUCUAAAAUCAAAAAUGAAAGAGUGAUCCACUUAGGUGACCAAAGGAACAAGUUACCGCA
RNAcentral lists this ribosomal RNA (294 nucleotides) under Sterechinus neumayeri. RNAcentral describes it as "partial 16S large subunit ribosomal RNA". Lineage: Eukaryota; Metazoa; Echinodermata; Echinoidea; Camarodonta; Echinidae. The record is from RNAcentral.